UACGUAGGGGGCUAGCGUUGUCCGGAAUCAUUGGGCGUAAAGCGCGUGUAGGCGGUUCGGUAAGUCCGCUGUGAAAGUCGGGGGCUCAACCCUCGGAUGCCGGUGGAUACUGUCGGACUAGAGUGCGGAAGAGGCGAGUGGAAUUCCUGGUGUAGCGGUGAAAUGCGCAGAUAUCAGGAGGAACACCGAUUGCGAAGGCAGCUCGCUGGGACGUUACUGACGCUGAGACGCGAAAGCGUGGGGAGCAAACAGG
Molecule: ribosomal RNA, 253 nt
Filed under: uncultured bacterium
Lineage: Bacteria
Description: partial 16S ribosomal RNA
Rfam family: Bacterial small subunit ribosomal RNA
Source: RNAcentral